Long non-coding RNA from Gopherus evgoodei (Goodes thornscrub tortoise), 766 nucleotides. RefSeq lists it as uncharacterized. NCBI's taxonomy places the organism in Eukaryota, Metazoa, Chordata, Testudines, Testudinidae. The transcript has 2 exons. The record is from RefSeq and is a predicted model, not a curated record.
CCGACUGUUAUCAUCAUUGAACAGAGUAGAGCACCACACCGGUGAUGUCUGACCACACUGGUGACCCCAAUGGCUGAUCUGUUGCAUUCCACAGACCAAAGACACCAGAAAAUAUCACACCCUGAAGACACCAAAAGAAACUCCCAAGCAUCAAGAAAAGAAAAAUGAAGUGCUUUAUAAAUGAGAGACUGGUGAAAUACACCUCUAUCUACCAUAUAUGGACAAUUAAGUUGCCAAUCAGCUAAAAACCACUACCUGGACCAGGCUAAACUUUCAUUUAAUUUCAACUUGGUUACUGUGUAAAAACAACUGUAUUAUUACUUCACUACUGUAUUAUCGUUGUACUGCUGUAUUAUUGCUGUACUGCAUCAUUACCGUACAACAUUUACAAUGUGCAUAACCUGCUAAACUGCUUAACCAACACACAGGUAAAAACCAACCAAUCAAUGGCAGCAAAGAACAGGAAGGCAAGGAAAAAACAAAAUUGGUAAAGAAAUUAAGUUACACAGUAACUACAAAUUGGGUAAACAAAUUUCCUGUUAGUACCAGUCAUAAUCUGGGUUACUGACACUACAUCCUAACUAAGGCAUGUAUUAUUCAAAAUAAGCAUAUUCAGUGUCAGGAUACCAAUAUUAUAUCCUGACACAGCAAUAUUUGAUAAAUUGGUUACUGUCCAUUCAGUAGGUUAUCUGGAAAACAACACCCAUAAAAACAGCUGGAUCUACAUUAACUACUGGUGUAUCACAGAGCAGUUCAAUCAAUGGAA